UGCGUCUCUUCAAACCUUUCCUUUCCUAAUUCUCUCUCUUAUCUCUUCACUGCUCGCUGAUCUCUCAUUCCGCUUUUAUCUGAUCCUUUCUUGUCGGCUUCUUCAAGUCUCUCACGAUCUUAACUGCUUACUCUCCAAGCCCUUUCGUUGCUUAAUUCUCUAUUUCACGUCAAUCGCGCACUGGAAUCAUUUGGGUUUUUUGCGUGUUACUUGCUGUGAUCAGUGGUUGUUGUUGGAGUUUUGACGGUUCAUCUUUGUGCAAGGACUUGUGAGGAGGUGAGAUGGCGUCAUUGCAAGGACCGGUUAUUUGCCCUGCUGUGCGUGCAAAACAAGCAGGAAUUUAUACUCUGCCCGUGAAUAUUCCUUUGGUGAAUGCUAGGCUUGUUAGAAAUGGGUUAUGGAGAUUCAAGGAGAUGGAUGGUUACAAAACUAAAGUGAGUUUAUUUUCUCCUCAACUAAAUGCACAAGGGCGCUAUACAGUACAGUGUUGUUUGAGUUCUUCCUCGAAUGGUAAUGGGAGCACAGCCGAGAACUUCAAUGAAAAUGAUGAAGAUUAUGUAAACUCUAGCAUAGUUGAAGCUGUUGAGGUGAAGAGCGGAGCAGAUGGUUUCGUGAUCAAAAUGAGGGAUGGGAGGCACUUACGAUGUGUCCAUAACAACCCUCAAGGCGGGCAUCUGCCAGACUAUGCACCUCAUCCUGCAAUUGUAUUGAAGAUGGAAGAUGGGACUGGUCUUCUUCUCCCUAUAAUUGUUUUGGAGAUGCCCAGUGUGUUGCUCAUGGCAGCUGUUCGCAAUGUGCAAAUAGCUAGACCAACUAUGUAUCAAGUGGUAAAGGAAAUGAUUGAGAAAAUGGGCUAUGAAGUCAGACUUGUUAGAGUUACUAAGAGGGUGCAUGAGGCAUAUUUUGCUCAGUUAUACCUAACAAAGAUGGGCAAUGAGAAAGAAUGGGUCAGCUUUGACCUGCGUCCUUCAGAUGCCAUCAAUAUUGCAGUGAGAUGCAAGGUGCCAAUUCAAGUCAACAAGUACCUGGCAUACAGUGAUGGGAUGAGAGUUAUUGAAUUUGGAAAGCUAACACAUUCUCCUGCUUCAGAUGGUUUGUUAUUUACUGAACAAGAUCGGCCUACUGGUCAGCCUUGUCUUGACACCAAGGAGUUUAAUCUUGUCCGCAACAUGAUUACAGCAGCCAUUGAGGAACGUUACCAAGAUGCAGGUACAUUUUCUUUUAAUUGUUUUCCAUGUUUGUAGGUUAUGACAUUAUUUGAACAGUGCUGGUGGCCUUGUAUUGGAUGCUGUCAUUUUGAAAUGAUGCCAAAUUAGUUUGCUUAGAACUGCACAAUACAAAACCCCCCUGUACUCAAAUGUAUAUGUUUUUCUUUGAGUUUUGGAAAUUGUCUUUUUUACAAUGAUAUUAUAUGGAUGGUCUGAUUAAUAUUUUUCCUUGGGAGCAUUAUAGCUGGAUUUUGCAAUUCCCUUAUUCUUUUUAAUUGUGUUUAUUUUCAUUAGUAAUUUUGCAUCUUUUACAUUGUAAUGAUCUUCAUGUUCUAUUAAAGCUCAAUGGAGAGACAAACUUGGUCAAUUUAGGGCUAAAAGGAACUUGAAGAAAUAUACAUGACAGUUAUUCCACGAGAAAUUGUAUAUAGAAAGCAUUGUUGGAAGCUGAUGAGAUCAGUUUUAUACAGCAGUAACCAAUUAUGUCCCUUUCCCUUUCUACCAAUGUGCGUGUAACAAGUUUGUGAAUAUAUGUAUAGAUAAAACUUUGCUUACAAAAACGUUGAAGCAAUUUAACACUUGUUGAUUUCUGCUUAUUAUUCUGCUGUGGAUGCUGAAGCUUAUCAGCUAUUAAUUGCAUGAGGGGUUCUUCUUGCAUUUUGCUGUUAUUUGUUAGACAUCUAUACUAAAGCUGUUGUAUGAAAUUUAUGAAAUCACAAACGGUAGAGAAAUGUUUGGAUGGGCUAAACUGAUUGAAG
RNAcentral lists this unclassified non-coding RNA (1966 nucleotides) under Hevea brasiliensis (rubber tree). Lineage: Eukaryota; Viridiplantae; Streptophyta; Magnoliopsida; Malpighiales; Euphorbiaceae. The record is from RNAcentral.